GGGGCGGCGUGCUUACCAUGCAAGUCGACGGUGAACACGGAGCUUGCUCUGUGGGAUCAGUGGCGAACGGGUGAGUAACACGUGAGCAACCUGCCCCUGACUCUGGGAUAAGCGCUGGAAACGGCGUCUAAUACUGGAUAUGUGACGUGACCGCAUGGUCUGCGUUUGGAAAGAUUUUUCGGUUGGGGAUGGGCUCGCGGCCUAUCAGCUUGUUGGUGAGGUAAUGGCUCACCAAGGCGUCGACGGGUAGCCGGCCUGAGAGGGUGACCGGCCACACUGGGACUGAGACACGGCCCAGACUCCUACGGGAGGCAGCAGUGGGGAAUAUUGCACAAUGGGCGCAAGCCUGAUGCAGCAACGCCGCGUGAGGGAUGACGGCCUUCGGGUUGUAAACCUCUUUUAGCAGGGAAGAAGCGAAAGUGACGGUACCUGCAGAAAAAGCGCCGGCUAACUACGUGCCAGCAGCCGCGGUAAUACGUAGGGCGCAAGCGUUAUCCGGAAUUAUUGGGCGUAAAGAGCUCGUAGGCGGUUUGUCGCGUCUGCUGUGAAAUCCGGAGGCUCAACCUCCGGCCUGCAGUGGGUACGGGCAGACUAGAGUGCGGUAGGGGAGAUUGGAAUUCCUGGUGUAGCGGUGGAAUGCGCAGAUAUCAGGAGGAACACCGAUGGCGAAGGCAGAUCUCUGGGCCGUAACUGACGCUGAGGAGCGAAAGGGUGGGGAGCAAACAGGCUUAGAUACCCUGGUAGUCCACCCCGUAAACGUUGGGAACUAGUUGUGGGGUCCAUUCCACGGAUUCCGUGACGCAGCUAACGCAUUAAGUUCCCCGCCUGGGGAGUACGGCCGCAAGGCUAUACUCAGAGAUAUAUAUAC
Molecule: ribosomal RNA, 868 nt
Filed under: Actinobacteridae bacterium TEMPHRAG9bisA09
Lineage: Bacteria; Bacillati; Actinomycetota; Actinomycetes
Description: bacterial SSU rRNA
Rfam family: Bacterial small subunit ribosomal RNA
Source: RNAcentral